CUUGGGAACAUUGUAGUUCCCUUAUUUAAAAGCGUAAUAUUUUUGGGCUUUACGCUUUCCAGAGUUCUGUCCUGGACAGCUCACGUCAAAGAUAUUAGACAAAUAUAUGCUUAAACUGAAUGUUAUGAAGGCUAUUGCUGGGGUUUCUUGGGGUUUUCACCUUCACAACUUGAUUGCUGUCUAUAAAGGCUGGAUCAGGUCUUUUAGAUUAUGAUAUUGGCAGGAGGAGACUUCAUGGUAUGGAGGAUCUUUUUUUAUCCACCCUCAUGAGCUUAUGGGAGUAAUUCGGGGCUAAUAUGUAUCGUACUUCUCUAUCUAAUUCUUUGGAUUUUUCCCUGGAAGUUGGGAGUUUUCAGCCGGAAAGGGACUCUUGUUCGGGUUUCAAUUUUCAGAUUAAAUGCAAUAAAGAUAAUAUUUCCUUUACUAUA
Molecule: unclassified non-coding RNA, 428 nt
Filed under: Harpegnathos saltator (Jerdon's jumping ant)
Lineage: Eukaryota; Metazoa; Arthropoda; Insecta; Hymenoptera; Formicidae
Description: tHAP domain-containing protein 3-like, transcript variant X2
Source: RNAcentral